UACCAGCACCCCGAGUGGUCGGGACGAUUAUUGGGCCUAAAGCAUCCGUAGCCGGUUCUACAAGUCUUCCGUUAAAUCCACCUGCUUAACAGAUGGGCUGCGGAGGAUACUAUGGAGCUAGGAGGCGGGAGAGGCAAGCGGUACUUAGUGGGUAGGGGUAAAAUCCGUUGAUCCAUUGAAGACCACCAGUGGCGAAGGCGGCUUGCCAAUACGCGCUCGACGGUGAGGGAUGAAAGCUGGGGGAGCAAACCGG
RNAcentral lists this ribosomal RNA (253 nucleotides) under uncultured bacterium. RNAcentral's name for it is "partial 16S ribosomal RNA". It matches the Rfam family "Archaeal small subunit ribosomal RNA", at positions 474 to 727 of the family's 1478-position model. The record is from RNAcentral.